UACGUAGGGGGCUAGCGUUGUCCGGAUUUAUUGGGCGUAAAGAGCGUGUAGGCGGCCAGGUAGGUCUGGUGUGAAAACUCGAGGCUUAACCUCGAGAUGUCAUCGGAAACCAUCUGGCUAGAGUCCGGAAGAGGAGAGUGGAAUUCCUGGUGUAGCGGUGAAAUGCGCAGAUAUCAGGAAGAACACCAAUGGCGAAUGCAGCUCUCUGGGACGGUACUGACGCUGAGACGCGAAAGCGUGGGGAGCGAACAGG
RNAcentral lists this ribosomal RNA (253 nucleotides) under uncultured bacterium. RNAcentral's name for it is "partial 16S ribosomal RNA". It matches the Rfam family "Bacterial small subunit ribosomal RNA", at positions 524 to 776 of the family's 1533-position model. The record is from RNAcentral.